GAUGAACGCUGGCGGCGUGCCUAAUACAUGCAAGUCGAACGAAACUUCUUUAUCACCGAGUGCUUGCACUCACCGAUAAAGAGUUGAGUGGCGAACGUGUGAGUAACACGUGGGCAACCUGCCCAAAAGAGGGGGAUAACACUUGGAAACAGGUGCUAAUACCGCAUAACCAUAGUUACCGCAUGUUAACUAUGUAAAAGGUGGCUAUACUACCGCUUUUGGAUGGGCCCGCGGCGCAUUAGCUAGUUGGUAGGGUAAAGGCUUACCAAGGCAAUGAUGCGUAGCCGAAUUGAGAGGUUGAUCGGCCACAUUGGGACUGAGACACGGCCCAAACUCCUACGGGAGGCAGCAGUAGGGAAUCUUCCACAAUGGGCGAAAGCCUGAUGGAGCAACGCCGCGUGGGUGAAGAAGGUCUUCGGAUCGUAAAACCCUGUUGUUAGAGAAGAAAGUGCGUGAGAGUAACUGUUCACGUUUCGACGGUAUCUAACCAGAAAGCCACGGCUAACUACGUG
Molecule: ribosomal RNA, 512 nt
Filed under: uncultured bacterium
Lineage: Bacteria
Description: partial 16S ribosomal RNA
Rfam family: Bacterial small subunit ribosomal RNA
Source: RNAcentral